UGUCACCAUGGAUACCACCUGAUGUCGCCAUGGAUACCACCUGAUGUCACCAUGGAUACCACCAGAUGUCGCCAUGGAUACCACCUGAUGUCACCAUGGAUACCACCAGAUGUCGCCAUGGAUACCACCUGAUGUCGCCAUGGAUACCACCAGAUGUCGCCAUGGAUACCACCUGAUGUCGCCAUGGAUACCACCAGAUGUCGCCAUGGAUACCACCUGAUGUCGCCAUGGAUACCACCAGAUGUCGCCAUGGAUACCACCUGAUGUCGCCAUGGAUACCACCAGAUGUCGCCAUGGAUACCACCUGAUGUCGCCAUGGAUACCACCAGAUGUCGCCAUGGAAACCACUCACUGGCCAUGCCAGCCAAUCAACCGCGAGGAAUCUAGACGGUGACCUCAGAGCCAGGUCGUCCAACUGAGCCUUUUUUGCUGGAGGGUGUGAGUGAGAGUUAAAGGAGUAAGAAGAGUGUGUGUGUGAGAGUUAAAGGAGUAAGAAGAGUGUGUGUGUGUGUGUGAGAGUUAAAGGAGUAAGAAGAGUAAGAGUGUGUGUGUGUGAGAGUUAAAGGAGUAAGAAGAGUGUGUGUGUGAGAGUUAAAGGAGUAAGAAGAGUGUGUGUGUGUGUGAGAGUUAAAGGAGUAAGAAGAGUGUGUGUGUGUGUGUGUGUGUGUGAGAGUUAAAGGAGUAAGAAGAGUGUGUGUGUGUGUGUGUGUGUGUGAGAGUUAAAGGAGUAAGAAGAGUGUGUGUGUGUGUGUGUGUGUGUGAGAGUUAAAGGAGUAAGAAGAGUGUGUGUGUGAGAGUUAAAGGAGUAAGAAGAGUGUGUGUGUGUGUGUGAGUUAAAGGAGUAAGAAGAGUGUGUGUGUGUGUGUGUGAGAGUUAAAGGAGUAAGAAGAGUGUGUGUGUGUGUGUGAGUUAAAGGAGUAAGAAGAGUGUGUGUGUGUGUGUGUGAGAGUUAAAGGAGUAAGAAGAGUGUGUGUGUGAGAGUUAAAGGAGUAAGAAGAGUGUGUGUGUGUGUGAGUUAAAGGAGUAAGAAGAGUGUGUGUGUGUGUGAGAGUUAAAGGAGUAAGAAGAGUGUGUGUGUGUGAGAGUUAAAGGAGUAAGAAGAGUGUGUGUGUGUGAGAGUUAAAGGAGUAAGAAGAGUGUGUGUGUGUGUGUGAGUUAAAGGAGUAAGAAGAGUGUGUGUGUGUGUGAGAGUUAAAGGAGUAAGAAGAGUGUGUGUGUGUGAGAGUUAAAGGAGUAAGAAGAGUGUGUGUGUGUGAGAGUUAAAGGAGUAAGAAGAGUGUGUGUGUGUGUGAGAGUUAAAGGAGUAAGAAGAGUGUGUGUGUGAGAGUUAAAGGAGUAAGAAGAGUGUGUGUGUGUGUGAGUUAAAGGAGUAAGAAGAGUGUGUGUGUGUGAGAGUUAAAGGAGUAAGAAGAGUGUGUGUGUGUGAGAGUUAAAGGAGUAAGAAGUGUGUGUGUGUGUGAGAGUUAAAGGAGUAAGAAGAGUGUGUGUGUGUGUGUGUGAGAGUUAAAGGAGUAAGAAGAAAGAGUGUGUGUGUGUGUGUGAGAGUAGCAGAGAUCUUUAUGUGUCAGUCGAUGUGUAACUAAGAGCAGGAAGGAUGACCAUGUGUACGUGUGUGUAUGUGUGUAUAUGUGUGUAUAUGUGUGUAGGAUGUGUGUGUGUGUAUGUGUGUGUGUAUAUAUGUGUAGGAUGUGUAGGAUGUGUGUGUGUGUAUGUGUGUGUGUAUAUGUGUGUAGGAUGUGUAGGAUGUGUGUGUGUGUAUGUGUGUAUGUGUGUGUGUAUAUGUGUGUAGGAUGUGUAGGAUGUGUGUAUGUGUGUGUGUAUAUGUGUGUAGGAUCAGUGGGGAUGUGUGUAUAUAUGUGUGUUUGUGUGUAGGAUCAGUGGGGAUGUGUGUGUAUAUGUGUGUAGGAUGUGUUGGAUGUGUAGGAUGUGUGUGUGUAUAUGUGUAGGAUCAGUGGGGAUGUGUGUGUGUAGGAUGUAUAGGAUGUGUGUGAUAUAGGUGUGUAAACAUGAAGUGUGUGUGAUAUAGAUGUGUAAACAUGAAGUGUGUGUGUGUGUGCAAACAUGAAGUGUGUGUGAUGCCUUCUCUCACACCCCUGAGCCCUGUGAAGAUAUACGCAGACCUCCUCAGUCCUGUGAACUCAACCAAACUGAUCCAGCUGUACUGUGCCCACCCCGCCGAUGGCAGCCGGAACUGGCCCGGAACUGGCCCGGAAGCUGGCCCACAUCUGCCAUAUAGCCCUCAACUCAACACUGCCUCACGGAGUCUGCGCACAGAGAAGGAGUUUAACGAGUUUAACGAGUUUAAAGAUUAGACUUUUGUACUGUUGGACAACAAUAUGCAGUCAGAACUGUGAUUCAUGACCUGUGAUGACAACAACAUACACACCCGACACUUUGUCCCUUUUUGGAAAUGAAUCGUUGAUGUUUGAAUAUUAGGUGUAUAAAAAAUAUAUUCUUA
Long non-coding RNA from Clupea harengus (Atlantic herring), 2458 nucleotides. NCBI's taxonomy places the organism in Eukaryota, Metazoa, Chordata, Actinopteri, Clupeiformes, Clupeidae. The record is from Ensembl.